AACAAUCAAUACUAAAAACAAGAAAGUGAAAUAGCCCGGUUGGAGUCUUUGAUGUAUUUACAGUUACCUUUUCUCCUUUGGAAUUACUUGCUAUUUUAUUUUGUCAAGGCAAAUACUGCAGUCUUUUGAAAACAACAUUUUAAGAGGAAAUUCAGGACAAAAGAAGGCACUUAAGACAGACAGCUAUUUGCCCAGCUAAAAAAAAUUAAAUAAAAUCGUACUGAAAGCCAAACACCUGGUGAACCGGCAAGGUUAUAAACCUUUUAUGAAUCUGCUCUUGUUAAUCAUCUUCACAGCCUCUUUGUGAGUAGAGAAUUUUAUCACAGUCAGUAUCUGACAUGUUUAAUACACCUGCUUUGAAGAAGAAAAAAAUACACCCUUGUAAAUGUGGGAGCCUGUGUUCACAAUCUGAAUCAGUGAUAAAUGGCUCCCCUUCCUAAGGCAUGCCUCCCCACCCCACUAUGAGCCCUCCUUUGUGGUCACGUGACCAAGUGGACAGCAGCACGGAAUGGAAGGAAUGCGAUCGUAUGACUGUUUACCCGACCAGCGUCAUGAGGAACAGACCCUGCUUCACACACUUGCUCACACAUGCAGCAUCUACGCAUACAUUAGCAUGCCACUAUACAUAAACACACAAGCAAUUUUCAGCAAACAAAAUGAAUUCAAUUGAAGUUUAUCUGGCAGUCUGAGAAUGAUGACCGAUGACAGACCAAGGCUGCGUUUCCCGACAACACUGUCUCUUAGCCUGCUAUGAAGAUAAAGGCCAUGUUGUGCUGAUUUGGUGAUCAAAACAUGGUGAGCCCCCCAGGACAGAGCGCACACUGCAGCUCUGAGUCACGGGGCUGGAGCAGCAUGCCUUUGAGACCACGUGACAGACCCUGUAAAACAUGCCCUCUGGCCUCUACGCUGCUUCUGUCUUUUUUUGGUGAAUCUUUAAAAGCAGACAGCUGUACAUGGCUUUCUAGGAGAAGGCUGGAAUGUGAAACAACACGACGGGAAGCUUUACAUGAGAAAGCAAAACAUAAGCUGGAUUUUUUAAGUGGAGAGGCGCAGCCUGUUAAGCACAUCAACAUGCCGUCUAUUCGUCUCUUCAGUUCACAGAUAUAAUGAUGUGAUCUAUCCUGUGGAAAAGCAAUGACCCUUGUUUAUAAAUCUGAAUAGAAAGAGAGAGAAAAAAGAGACGGAUCCCCCCAAAUCAUCCUCAUGAUUCUCCAGCAUCAAUUCCCAAAACAACACACAAAAUUCCUCUUGCUCGUUGUGAACCUGGCACACAGCCCCAGGGAAGCAAAACCUGAAUUUAUGGGUACAAAUCUUAGUGGACAUGGGGGAAUAGUAGCAGUGAGGAAACAGGGACGUUAUGUUCUUGGUUUUCAAAUUCAACCUGAGAAAUCAAAAACUUUAACUCACUCUGACAAGGAGAUCUACUUACUCGACCACUCCUUCUACCAUUUCCUAUUAUUGUCAUUUCUUACAGCAUCUCUUGUGGUGACACCUGUCAAAAUACUGCACUACUCCACAUCACCGCCUGUCCAUAAUAAAGCAUCUAUUAUGAUCAAAA
Carassius auratus (goldfish) is the source of this 1558-nucleotide long non-coding RNA. RefSeq lists it as uncharacterized. The record is from RefSeq and is a predicted model, not a curated record. Lineage: Eukaryota; Metazoa; Chordata; Actinopteri; Cypriniformes; Cyprinidae. The transcript has 3 exons.